GGCUAGGUGGCGGAGUGGUUAACGCGGUAGACUCGAAUUAAUUUGUUAUCUACUUCCUUCGGGAGCGUCUGUUCGAAUCAGGCCCUAGUCG
This 91-nucleotide transfer RNA is filed under the name Nemania serpens. Its description in RNAcentral is "tRNA-Ser". It matches the Rfam family "tRNA". From Rfam's summary of the family: Transfer RNA (tRNA) molecules are approximately 80 nucleotides in length. Their secondary structure includes four short double-helical elements and three loops (D, anti-codon, and T loops). Lineage: Eukaryota; Fungi; Ascomycota; Sordariomycetes; Xylariales; Xylariaceae. The record is from RNAcentral.